Molecule: non-coding RNA, 335 nt
Organism: Puma concolor (puma)
Lineage: Eukaryota; Metazoa; Chordata; Mammalia; Carnivora; Felidae
Source: RefSeq, a predicted model, not a curated record
CCUGAGCCGAAGUUGGACGUUCAAUCAACUGAGCCACCCAGGCGCCCCUAAACCAGGAGCCUUCUUAAUAUAGAGUCCUCAUUUGGGGGAAGUUGGUGAUAUCAGAGGAGGACAUCACUUUGGAAAAUGAAUUAAAAAGAAAGAAAGAAAGAAAAUCGAGAAAGAGGAAUCCCUGAUAUUUUCAGAGGAAGAAAUACCUGAUUGCUGAAAACAGUCCAUAUCCUGAACAGUUUCCUAGAAAUGCAACUGGUUAAUUUUUAUAAGCCAUUCCAUGCAUCAAACAGCAAGUUCUGAUGCUUCCGAUUGCCCAAAGAGAGACAGAGCAUGAACGGGGG